AUGCAUGAGGCCAAAUAAAAACGUAUGUGUGGUUCCAGUUACAUCUGAAAAAAAGUUAGGGUCGGAAGGUAGGGAUUUUUUUUAAUUUUAUGUUUUAUUUUUACAUUGAGUCUAUGGGAGCAACAUUCAGACUUUAACAGUGCUUAAUGAAAAAAGACAAUAAAAUCUUUAGGGUAGGCUAUUUUUGAGGCGAAAAAGUAGGGAAGGUAGGGUUACUGGAACCACACAUUUAUUUUUAUUUGGCCU
Molecule: long non-coding RNA, 246 nt
Filed under: Mytilus galloprovincialis (Mediterranean mussel)
Lineage: Eukaryota; Metazoa; Mollusca; Bivalvia; Mytilida; Mytilidae
Source: RNAcentral